This 4776-nucleotide long non-coding RNA is filed under the name Sus scrofa (pig). Its description in RNAcentral is "lncRNA (ENSSSCG00035052669.1)". The record is from RNAcentral. Lineage: Eukaryota; Metazoa; Chordata; Mammalia; Artiodactyla; Suidae.
CCCCCUGACCAAUAAGCACAUAAAGAGAUGCUUAGUAUCAUUAGUAAUUAGGGAAAUGCAAAUUAACUUCACAAUGAGAUACCACUUCAUAGCUAUUAGGAUGAUUAUUAUUUUAAAAAAAUAAGGCGACAUCACAUGUUGGUGGGAUAUGGUGAAAUUGGACCCCUCCUGCACUGCUGGUAGGAAUGUAAAAUGGUGCCUUUACUAUGGAAAAGAGCAUGCUGGUUCUUAAACAAAAUUAAACAGAAUUACCAUAAGAUCCAGCAAUUCCAAUUCUUGGUAUAGACACAAAGAAUUGAAAGCAGGACUCAUAGAUAUUUUUGUACACCAAUAUUCAUAGAAACAUUAUUCCCCAUAGCCAAAAGAAGUGUGCUGGUGAGUUUCAGGGGCUGAAGGAGCUGGGAAGGGGGGUUGUUUAUUGGAUAUCCACUUUCAGUUUGCUUUGGUGAAGAAGUUCUGGAGGUGGUGGUGGUGAUAGCACAGCAGCCAUGUGGGGUGUACUUGUAUCCCUGCAUUACAUACUUAAAAUGGUUAAAGUGGUUAAUUUUAGGUUGUGUGUUUUUUCACCACACACAAGAAUUUUCUAUACUCUGCUUUUUUUGUUUGUUUGUUUGUUUGGGCCACACCAGUGGCACAUGGAGUGUCCCAGGCUAAGGGUCCAAUCGGAGCUACAGCUGCCAGCCUGUGCCAGAGCAACAGCAACGGAGGAUCUGAGCUGCGUCUGUGACCUACAUCGCAGCUCACGGCAACGCCAGAUCCUUAACCCACUGAGCGAGACCCGGGAUCAAACCCACAACCUCAUGGUUCCUAGGCAGAUUCGUUUCCCCUGCGCCAUGAUGGGAACUCCGAAUUUUCCAUACUCCGACACGUCCCAGCUGCCACCACCCAACCUUCUUGCAAAUGUUCCUCUUUCCUCUUGAGGACCUGGAGAUUCUGAAUUUCCCUCCAGUGAGAAAGUAUCGAGGAGAGGUCGAUGGAGGAUCUUGAGAAACAUAACCGAUCAGGUCCUCAGACAGCAACUGAGGAUCUUGAGAAAUGUAACAGAUCAGGUCCUCCCAAGAGUUGAAGUUAUGUCGGUUCUUACUGCUCAUUCUCUUAAAUGACUAGCUGGUUAAUAGAUCUGCCUUCAGAAUUGUCUGCUUUUGCAACUUCUGAAGACUAUGUAUAAAAUGUAUCAAAUUUCCAGUGCCGUUUGCUCACAUUUUGCCUUUAGAGGUCUUGCCAAUAGUCUGCCCACUAAUGCCAAAUAGAAAAGCGGAGACAGGGUUUAGGGGAAGGACAAAAAAAAAAAAAAAAAUAGCUUAAUUGUUUUGCCAGGCAAAGGAGGCCACAGCAGGCUAUAAUAAUGACUUAAAGGCUGUGCCCCCCGUGGGAGAGAUGAGGAGGGGGUUUAUAGUUUAGGAGUGAAAAUUAGGGCCACAGAUAAGGAUCGGGGUAGACAUAGGCUUUCACUCUUCUUCAGAGUUGGUGUUUAAUGGCCCCAGGACUGGUUCUGUCGGUCCUCCACACUGGCCUUCAGGUGUGGAGGGUUUUAGUUCUGCUGAAGAACUCAAGGUUAUCGUUAUGUGUAUUCCUUGACAAAGAACCGGGACACUGCUCCAAGACUACACUAUUGUUUCUGGACAGCUCCUCCCCUGUCUCUGCAUCCCCUCCCUUCCCUGAUGAGCAACUGUUUGAACUGCCUUUGGAACUCAGGGAAGGCCAGGGCGGCUGAAAGAGUCCCAUUUCCUACAGACAAGAAAUGCGGGACACAGAGGCUUUUGUGACCGUUUCAGCAGGUGUUUUUUGGAGAGUGGGAUUAAAAUGAUGCCAAAAUUCAGGCACAUCCCAGAAAUAUCGCCAGUUCCAUCCAGACCAGCACGAUAAGGCAAAUAGUGCACAAAAUCAAGUCAUAUGGAUUCUUUUGGUUUCCCAGCGCAUAUAAAAAUGGUAUUUACACUAUACAGUAGACUAUCAAGUGUGCAUUGUCUAGAAAAAUAAUAUGCAUACUUUAAUUUAAAAAUAUUUUUGCUGGAGUUCUCAUCGUGGCUCAGCAAAAGCGAAUACGACUGGUAUCCAUGAGGCUGUGGGUUCACUUCCUGGCCUCGCUCUGUGGGUCAGGGAUCCAGCUUUGCUGUGAGCCAUGAUGUAGGUCACAGAUGCAGCUCGGAACCUGCGCUGCUGUGGCUGUGGCGUGGGCUGGCAGCUAUAGCUCCAAUUUGACCCCUAGCCCGGGAACUUCCAUAUGCCAUGGGUGCAGCCCUAAAAAGCAAUAAAUAAAUAAAUAAAAAAUUUAAAUAUAUAAAAAUAAAAAUAUUUUAUUGCUAAAAAAUGCUCAUCAUCUAAGAGUUCCGCAAACUGCAAUCUUUUUGCAAGGGUAACAUUAAAGCUUACUGAUCUCAGAUCACCAUCACAAAUAUAAUAAUAACGAAAAAGUUUGAAAUAUUGCGAGAAUUAGCAAAAUGUGUCACAGAGACAGGAAGUGACCAGGUGCUGUUGGAAAAAUGGCACCAGUAGCUUUGCACAAUGCAGCGUUGCCACAGAGUUUCAAUUUUUUAAAAAUGCAGUAUUCACAAAGUGUAUUAAGUCAAAGCACAGUAAAACGGGGUCUGCCUAUAUGAGAAAGAAUAACGGUAAAUUAUGGAGAAUUUUAAUGUAUGGUUAGUUAGAAAAGUUUAAUAGAUCUAAAAAUGGAUAGCUUUGCUUAGCUACAUUUAGAAAUAUCAGCCUCCUCUUAACUCAUUUUGAAAGUUCUCAAAGCAUGUUUAUGGAUCUUUCUAUAGGAAAAGCAGCAUUUUUGCAAGCAAAUUUUUCUCCUUAAAAGAUUCAGAAUGUUGUGCUUAAAUUGAGCUUGAAAUCUAGCCUUGACUUAAAUAUGACCCCAAUGAGCAAUUGUAAGUACAUUUCAUUCCCUGGCACAAUAAGCAAAUCUUGGAAAGUUAGGGAGCUAACCAGAGCUCUUCAGGAAAGUGCCUCGAAAAUCCCCAGGAAUGGCCAGAACAGACUUAGCCCUUUUUGCUUUACCCCCCUUUUAAAAGCUCAUUUCCUUUCCAGCACUUACAGCAAAGUAGUCAUUACAGGCGUCAGAGAAGCUCUAUUUCAUACUUCGAAAUGGUGAACCUUCCCAUGUGGUUCUAGAUCCUAGCCAUCCUGUGGAUUUUAAUAGGAACAGAAAUUGCUCAUUUGGGCUGAACAGGUGGUGGCUGUAACACAAAGUCCUGGGAAACAGCUGGGGCAGCAAAGACAGGCUGGCUCCUUCUGUUCAAGUGGAUAAAGUGCAGACAGAUUGUCCGUUGCCACUGUCUUUCAGCUUCUAUUUGGAGUGAGGGUAUUGGGGCUGCUGUUGGUGGAAAGAGUGGAAUUAAGACACUUUGAAGUUAGUAAUAAGAAAAAGGGAUUGGGAAACCAGGCAGACGAACACACUAAAAAAAGACAAAGCCAUACAGAGGGUAUUGUCCCCUAAAUAAUCUGUUCUUUGAUGAAAAUAACCCAUUUGGUAUUCUUUAACCCUAAACUCUUACAACAGGCUAUAAGGUGGCUGCUAGUAUAAUGCCAAGUUCACCAAUAAGAACCUUAAGUCCCAGAGAAUGUACACAAUUUUCCCAAAGUCCCUGAGCUCCUCAGUGUCAGAGCUGGGACUUAAAUGCGAGGCUCCUGAUAUUUCAAAGCCACUGCACUUGACCACUAAAUUACAUCAUAGUCUAUAUCAAUGAAUGUUACUGUGCAGCAGAGCCCUAGCUCUUAUUGAGUGCUGCGAAGAUGGGAUGUUUGUAAGCUUAGUCUUUCCCGCUUUAGGAAGGACAAAGUGGUAUUUCCGGAGGAUAAAAAAAAAAAAGCCACACAAGCAAAAAUAGGAUUUUGAUACAGUGCUUCCUUUGAAGUCCUAAGUCCAGGGCCAAUUAAUUUUGGGGUUCACAGAGAUCACUAAGAUACAAAAUGCCCUGAGAAGGCUUGCAGUAAAAAGGUGUUUAAUGCAGGAAAAUAUUGCAUCACAACCCCCUCCAAAUCACAGUGGCUUACAACCAUUGCAUCUUUCUUACAAGUUUGCAGUUCGGUUGUGUUGACCAGAAACUGCAGGUCACAUACAGAUCUGGUGCAUAGAUUCAUACUUUGGGGACCCCCACUGAAAGAGCAGAGCUUACCUGGAGAAAGGUUUUGUUAUGAUGUGGUCAGAGAUGCAAGAAGCCAAGCCAAACUGCACUUCUGACUCCGAUUUAAAUUCUCUGCCUGGAAAGGGCGUGUCUCACGUUGACUCCCAUCCUAUUGGUCCAUGCCCAUCACAUCCCCAAGCCCAACCACAAUGGGGUGGAACCACAUCUCCCUCAGAGAGGAGAGAGAUAUAAGAUGUGUUUACUCAGCAUCAGCACAUUCUACCCUGAGCCCCGAUGCUCAGGUGCGGCACAAACUCAGCUGACCACACAACCCUUCUUUGUUUUCGCCCGAUCUCAAGAUGCUAUUGUUUCCCGAGUAUGAUUGUAGAUCGUUUGAGGAAAUUCAUGUCAUGAAGUCUCCUAUUUUAAAAUAGCAAGAAUAUGCUUUAAUCAAUAGAAAUGUGAGAAGUUCCCAUCGUGGCUCAGCGGUUAACGAAUCCGACUAGGAACCAUGAGGUUGUGGGUUCGAUCCCUGGCCCUGCUCAGUGGGUUAAGGAUCCGGCGUUGCCGUGAGCUGUGGUGUAGGUUGCAGACGCGGCUCGGAUCCCGAGUUGCUGUGGCUCUGGUGUAGGCCAGUGGCUACAGCUCCAAUUAGACCCCUAGCCUGGGAACCUCCAUAUGCCAUGGGAGCGGCCCUAGAAAAGGC